This 516-nucleotide ribosomal RNA is filed under the name uncultured bacterium. RNAcentral describes it as "bacterial SSU rRNA". It matches the Rfam family "Bacterial small subunit ribosomal RNA", at positions 355 to 885 of the family's 1533-position model. The record is from RNAcentral.
UGAGGAAUAUUGAGCAAUGGGCGCAAGCCUGACUCAGCAACGCCGCGUGGAUGAUGAAGGCCUUCAGGUUGUAAAAUCCUUUUCUGAGGGAAGAUAAUGACGGUACCUCAGGAAUAAGUUCCGGCUAACUACGUGCCAGCAGCCGCGGUAAAACGUAGGGGACGAGCGUUAUCCGGAUUUACUGGGCGUAAAGCGCAUGUAGGUGGCGCGGAAAGUUGGACGUGAAAGCUCCCGGCUUAACUGGGAGAGGUCGUUCAAAACUUACCGCGCUUGAGGUUGGAAGAGGAGAGCGGAAUUCCCGGUGUAGUGGUGGAAUGCGUAGAUAUCGGGAGGAACACCAGUGGCGAAAGCGGCUCUCUGGUUCACACCUGACACUGAGAUGCGAAAGCGUGGGGAGCGAACGGGAUUAGAUACCCCGGUAGUCCACGCUGUAAACGAUGGAUACUAGGUGUAGGGGGUCAUUAACCCCCUCUGUGCCGAAGCUAACGCGUUAAGUAUCCCGCCUGGGGACUACGG